RNAcentral lists this ribosomal RNA (477 nucleotides) under uncultured Ascomycota. Its description in RNAcentral is "eukaryotic LSU rRNA". The stretch from base 1 to 81 matches the Rfam family "5.8S ribosomal RNA", at positions 66 to 154 of the family's 154-position model. The record is from RNAcentral. Lineage: Eukaryota; Fungi; Ascomycota.
UGUGAGUAGUGUGAAUCAUCGAAUCUUUGAACGCAUCUUGCGCUGCCAGGCAUUCCUGGCAGCACAUCUGGCUGAGUAUCAAUUUUCCUUCUUCCUUUCCUACCCGGAUCCUUCUGGAUCUGCGGCGGGUCAAAGGAGAGAGUGAGGAUCCCAGACGCGUGCGUCUGCGUUCCUUGAAAUACAGAGACGGCUUCACGGCUGUCGGGACGGUUGCUUACGCGCCUCCCUCAACAAACUCGGAAGAGACUUUUUUUGUGACCACAAAAAAGACUUGCGGAGGAAGUAGGCCUCGGCCUGUCUGCCCUCUCGUCUCUCUGGCGCGUUAGGAAAGCUACACUUUCUCACGUUGGAAGCGGACGAGUGGUGUCGGAUAUUCCACCGCAGGUGUGGACGCAUGUCUUGACCCCAACCUAAAGACCUUUGAUCUCAGCUCAGAUGGGACUACCCGCUGAACUUAAGCAUAUCAAUAAGCGGAGG